RNAcentral lists this long non-coding RNA (331 nucleotides) under Medicago truncatula (barrel medic). Its description in RNAcentral is "long non-coding RNA (MTRU_LNC006659)". The record is from RNAcentral. Lineage: Eukaryota; Viridiplantae; Streptophyta; Magnoliopsida; Fabales; Fabaceae.
UCUGUGGCUGUCCCAACAAUGUCAAGUUUGCGACUUCCUCACUUGGCUCUUCAAACUGCUCUUCUUCUUUGUCACUUGCACUUUGUGGCUUUUCCAACAAGGUCGAAUUUGAGACUUCAUCACUUGGCUCUCCAAACUGCUCUUCUUCUUUGCUACUUGCUCUUUGUGGCUGUUCCAACAAGGUCAAUUUUGCGACUUCAUCACUUGGCUCAGCAAACUUCUCUAGUUCUUUAUUAGAACUUGGUCUGUGUGGCUGUUCCAACAAGGUCAACUUCUCGACUUCAUCACUCGGCUCUGCAAACUUCUCAAGUUCUUUAUUGCAACUUGGCCG